GAAGUAAGUUGCAUGCACUUGACACUAGCAAGGCUGUGAUACCACAAAAACGAGAGAUAUGCUUUAAGGCUUGAAUGCAGAGGGAAAAGUCUCCCAAGAAACUUAUUUGUUACAAAUUCUGUCCUUCCAUUACAGUUCCCUGCAGGCAUCUCAAUUCUGAUUUCCUGAGGAACACAAAGACUCAUCCAUAGGUAAUAGAAAUACUGAGAUAGGUAGUAAAAAUAGUAGUUUACAUUUUCCUAUUAUAUAUUAACUGUCUUAGCAGUUCUGCCACACAGGAACAUGGAAAUAUUURGCUGCGAAAUGGCAAGAGACACUGGAAAGCCAAUUAUGACAACUGUUCCCUUUUAUCUCUCCUUCCACCUGCCAAAUAUUUUCUGAAAAACAACUGGAAGCAAGAGCUCCUUGUGAGAAGUAUCCUAUGGUCCUUGCAAUCAGUAUGUCACUUUUUUAGAAUGAACAGCUGCUCCUUCCUAAAACAGAACUUCAAUCUUUCAAGAGAACAGUCAACACUUUCCCAUGCUGUGCCAGAAAUGAGUGUGGCUCCUUUAAAUUUUUAAAAGGACACCAGUGACUAGUUUGUUUCGAAUUUUCAUAUAUCUUCUAGAAUGGAUGCAUUACCACAUCCCUGAAGAAAAUAUUAUCUUUCCAUUCACUUACUUUAAAAUGCACAUCAGCAACAUGCUGUAAAAGUGGUUCUGAGGCUUCAGCAAACAGCCUGAGAUUGCUGAUUUCUGAUUUUCACACACUGAUACAGUCAUAUUCAGGCAAUGACAUUCCUUUUCACCUUAUGUUUCAGGAACAUUAGUAACAUGUGCCCAGAGAGGCUGUGAGUCUUCCUUACUGGAGAUACUGAAGAACCAUCUGAAUGCAAUCCUGUGCCAUGUGCUCUGGGAUGACCCUGCUUGAGCAGGGAGGUUGGACCAGAUGAACCACUAUGGUCUCUGCCCAUGCCACCCGUUCUGUGUGUAACAACCUUGUGAAUGCAACAGGGCAUGGUCCAGCAUGAUUUGUAUGGACUGCAAAAUCAUUGCAAAAAUCCUACAGGACAUUGAAAUACAUUUCCUCUGCAGAAAUUGAAGGAACAACCCUGCACAAAGUAUUUCACUUUUCCUGCCUGUAAAACCAAGACUCUCAUCUGGCUCAGGAAACAAUUUACAGUACUUCAGUUUAACUCUCAGGUACCUGUACAGAAUUCUAUACUAGUGUCAUUCUACCAUCAAAGAAGGCAAUUCAGAAUCAUGGAGGACCUCAAAACCCUUGGAAAAAGUAGAUACUGAUAAACAGAGAUAAAAGGGAAAUUAUUUUUUUAAAAUAUUGGAAACAUAGACAAGUAUUUUCUUUAAAGCUAGUAGCCCAAUAACUAGCUCAAGUAAUGAUGAAUCAAUUCUCAGAUCCUCACUGGCACUGCUAUCAUGUGCAAGAGUCACUUAUAUACAAGCACUUUACUGCAAAAUCACCUUUCAACAACUGAAUAUAUCAACAUUUCUGUCACCACCUCCUUUACUGAAUCUCAAUGAACAUCGUGAAAUCACUGCAUGUUCAUGCUUCCUAGAGGUCAGUAGCACUACCAACAGGAAUUACUUACUCUGGAGGAGGCAUUUUAGAUGGUUCCACAUCUCGGAGAAACUCGCACUGAAGAGCUUGUUCAGCUGUG
Long non-coding RNA from Malurus melanocephalus (red-backed fairy wren), 1657 nucleotides. RefSeq lists it as uncharacterized. Lineage: Eukaryota; Metazoa; Chordata; Aves; Passeriformes; Maluridae. The transcript has 2 exons. The record is from RefSeq and is a predicted model, not a curated record.